GGGUUGUGGCUCAUUGGUAGAGUGUUUGCCUAGCAUACAGGAGGCCUGGGUUCAAUCCUCAGCCGAGCUCA
RNAcentral lists this transfer RNA (71 nucleotides) under Marmota monax (woodchuck). RNAcentral's name for it is "tRNA.Ala". Lineage: Eukaryota; Metazoa; Chordata; Mammalia; Rodentia; Sciuridae. The record is from RNAcentral.